GACGAACCGAGCGACCGUUGUUCGGAAUCACUGGGCUUAAAGGGCGCGUAGGCGGGCUGCCAAGUUUGGGGUGAAAUCCUCCGGCUCAACCGGAGCAGUGCCUCGAAUACUGGCGGUCUCGAGGGAGGUAGGGGCGUGCGGAACUGUGGGUGGAGCGGUGAAAUGCGUUGAUAUCCACAGGAACUCCGGUGGCGAAGGCGGCACGCUGGACCUUUUCUGACGCUGAGGCGCGAAAGCCAGGGGAGCGAACGGG
RNAcentral lists this ribosomal RNA (253 nucleotides) under uncultured bacterium. RNAcentral's name for it is "partial 16S ribosomal RNA". It matches the Rfam family "Bacterial small subunit ribosomal RNA", at positions 524 to 776 of the family's 1533-position model. The record is from RNAcentral.